CCCUUUUUUAUUAUUUAUAUUUUUAGCUGAAAAGACGUAAAGGCAGUCAGCCCAGUGGUGUUUCUGGAGAGGGAUUCCUUCAGAAAUGGAGAAGACAGAAAGCUGCGGAGGCAGAUAUUUGCAGCAGUCUAAAAUAUCGAGCUCAACAGCUAUUUUAAGAGCCAACCCUCACAAACCUUCCUAAAACCUAAAAGAGCUAUUACUGAGUCUCAGCGAAUCUUGCCAUGAUCAGCUCUUCCCAGAAGAGAAGGAAGACCAAGGAAAUGAUUUGCUCAGGAUGAGGAAUGAAGACGGCCAUCUUGAGCUCAAACAAACAGAAGUCCUCUGAUGAUCUCAUCAGCCAAAUGAGAGGUUUUGACCAAGUGAUGCUCUUGAAAGGAGUGAAAGAAGAGGAUGUGGUAAAUUGUCUUCAGAGAAAAAGCUUCUCAAAAGGUCUUAAAGCAGCUUGAAGAAUGGUCUGGGAUGUUAGGACUGAGAGAUCCUCUGGCUGAGAACAAGCUACACCACAUCAGUGCUGGAUAUCAACCACAAACUGUUUCCAGACACGAGAGAAGAAGAACACGAUGGGGAGAUGAAACCAGUUUAGAUGUGAUGAUGGGAAUCAUUAUUUUGUGGAACAGUAUCUCAUGUCUUAUAUGUAUCACAUGAUCUGUAUCACAGUUGACUGGAUGGGACUGUGUGACUUUUAAGGACAUUUCAUCACUCAUCUGUGUGAACUGAUUUAUAUAUGAGGUUAAUGUAUCUUUGAUGAUAAUUAUUUUCAUUGAAUCUUAUUUGUCUUGAUGCUACUUUAUCAACUUUAUAGUCUAUGCUUCAAUAAAAUGAAAAUGGUGAA
Long non-coding RNA from Carassius gibelio (silver crucian carp), 835 nucleotides. RefSeq lists it as uncharacterized. The transcript has 5 exons. The record is from RefSeq and is a predicted model, not a curated record. Lineage: Eukaryota; Metazoa; Chordata; Actinopteri; Cypriniformes; Cyprinidae.